AGCGAACGCUGGCGGCAGGCUUAACACAUGCAAGUCGAGCGGACCUUUCGGGGUCAGCGGCGGACGGGUGAGUAACGCGUGGGAACGUGCCUUCCGGUUCGGAAUAACCCUGGGAAACUAGGGCUAAUACCGGAUACGCUCUUAUGGGGAAAGGUUUACUGCCGGAAGAUCGGCCCGCGUCUGAUUAGCUGGUUGGUGGGGGAACGGCCUACCAAGGCGACGAUCAGUAGCUGGUCUGAGAGGAUGAUCAGCCACACUGGGACUGAGACACGGCCCAGACUCCUACGGGAGGCAGCAGUGGGGAAUAUUGGACAAUGGGCGCAAGCCUGAUCCAGCCAUGCCGCGUGAGUGAUGAAGGCCUUAGGGUUGUAAAGCUCUUUUAUCCGGGACGAUAAUGACGGUACCGGAGGAAUAAGCCCCGGCUAACUUCGUG
Molecule: ribosomal RNA, 433 nt
Filed under: uncultured bacterium
Lineage: Bacteria
Description: partial 16S ribosomal RNA
Rfam family: Bacterial small subunit ribosomal RNA
Source: RNAcentral